AUUGGUGAAGACAAUUGCAGUAAGUUGUAUUUCCGUAUACUAUUACCUUAUUAUUAUAUCAGAAACAAAGAUUUUAGUAUUUUUUAGAUAUAAGACCUGUGUAGCAACAAAUGUAUAUGAUGGGUUAAGGCUAAUUCAUUAAUCCAUCUUUGUUAUUGUCAGAAUGGGACAGUGACUUGGCCACUCUGCUUUUGCUCGUUCAUCUCCUUCCACCUCAACCGGGAGGCAAGAGAACUGCCAAAGUCAGUGCUGCUGAUACUGCUGAUCACCUUGUUGUGUAUCAUAAGUCUUGCAACAGCAUUGAUGAACAUGUUCAGCAAACAGGACGGCAGCCAUACCUCCUUGCUGUGGGAAGAAGCCAAGACCAGACUGACGACUGACGAGACAGUCCCCAAGAAGCAACGCUUCAAACACAGGACUUGGUGCUGUGCUGAGCCAAAGCAUUAAUGGUGUUGAACACCCCAUCAUGUUCCUGAGG
Polypterus senegalus (gray bichir) is the source of this 478-nucleotide long non-coding RNA. RefSeq lists it as uncharacterized. The record is from RefSeq and is a predicted model, not a curated record. Lineage: Eukaryota; Metazoa; Chordata; Cladistia; Polypteriformes; Polypteridae. The transcript has 3 exons.